Molecule: ribosomal RNA, 465 nt
Filed under: Vreelandella stevensii
Lineage: Bacteria; Pseudomonadati; Pseudomonadota; Gammaproteobacteria; Oceanospirillales; Halomonadaceae
Description: partial 16S ribosomal RNA
Rfam family: Bacterial small subunit ribosomal RNA
Source: RNAcentral
CCUACGGGGGGCAGCAGUGGGGAAUAUUGGACAAUGGGGGGAACCCUGAUCCAGCCAUGCCGCGUGUGUGAAGAAGGCCCUCGGGUUGUAAAGCACUUUCAGUGAGGAAGAACGCCUGGUGGUUAAUACCCAUCAGGAAAGACAUCACUCACAGAAGAAGCACCGGCUAACUCCGUGCCAGCAGCCGCGGUAAUACGGAGGGUGCGAGCGUUAAUCGGAAUUACUGGGCGUAAAGCGCGCGUAGGUGGCUUGAUAAGCCGGUUGUGAAAGCCCCGGGCUCAACCUGGGAACGGCAUCCGGAACUGUCAAGCUAGAGUGCAGGAGAGGAAGGUAGAAUUCCCGGUGUAGCGGUGAAAUGCGUAGAGAUCGGGAGGAAUACCAGUGGCGAAGGCGGCCUUCUGGACUGACACUGACACUGAGGUGCGAAAGCGUGGGUAGCAAACAGGAUUAGAGACCCUGGUAGUC